CAAUAGCGUAUAUUAAAGUUGUUGCAGUUAAAAAGCUCGUAGUUGGAUUUCGGGACGGGCCAGUUGGUCCGCCGCAAGGUGUGUUACUGACUGGUCUGUUCUUCUUCGCAAAGACUGCGUGUGCUCUUCGUUGAGUGUGCGUAGGAUUUACGACGUUUACUUUGAAAAAAUUAGAGUGUUCAAAGCAGGCUAUCGCUUGAAUACAUGAGCAUGGAAUAAUGGAAUAGGACUUUGGUCCUAUUUUGUUGGUUUCUAGGACCGAAGUAAUGAUUAAGAGGGACAAUUGGGGGCAUCCGUAUUUCGUUGUCAGAGGUGAAAUUCUUGGAUUUACGAAAGACGAACAACUGCGAAAGCACUUGCCAAGAGUGUUUUCGUUAA
RNAcentral lists this ribosomal RNA (378 nucleotides) under uncultured eukaryote. Its description in RNAcentral is "partial 18S ribosomal RNA". It matches the Rfam family "Eukaryotic small subunit ribosomal RNA", at positions 592 to 976 of the family's 1831-position model. The record is from RNAcentral.